UGGGGAAUAUUGGACAAUGGGCGCAAGCCUGAUCCAGCAACGCCGCGUGGAGGAUGAAGGUCUUCGGAUCGUAAACUCCUGUCAGACGGGACGAAGGUACGGGGGCGAAUAGUUCUCGUGCUUGACGGUACCGUCAGAGGAAGCCCCGGCUAACUCCGUGCCAGCAGCCGCGGUAAUACGGAGGGGGCGAGCGUUAUUCGGAAUUAUUGGGCGUAAAGGGCGCGUAGGCGGCCCGGUAAGUCAAAGGUGAAAUCCCUCGGCUCAACUGAGGAACUGCCUUUGAAACUGUCGGGCUUGAGUCCGGGAGGGGUAGCGGAAUUCCCAGUGUAGCGGUGAAAUGCGUAGAUAUUGGGAGGAACACCAGUGGCGAAGGCGGCUACCUGGACCGGUACUGACGCUGAUGCGCGAAAGCGUGGGUAGCAAACAGGAUUAGAUACCCUGGUAGUCCACGCUGUAAACGAUGGGUGCUCGGUGUCGCGGGUAUCGACCCCUGCGGUGCCUUAGCUAACGCGUUAGGCACCCCGCCUGGGGAGUACGGUCGC
RNAcentral lists this ribosomal RNA (542 nucleotides) under uncultured bacterium. RNAcentral's name for it is "bacterial SSU rRNA". It matches the Rfam family "Bacterial small subunit ribosomal RNA", at positions 355 to 889 of the family's 1533-position model. The record is from RNAcentral.